UAAAUACUCUCUAGUGACCGAUAGUGAACCAGUACCGUGAGGGAAAGGUGAAAAGCACCCCGGAAGGGGAGUGAAAUAGAACCUGAAACCGUGUGCUUACAAGUAGUCAGAGCCCGUUAAUGGGUGAUGGCGUGCCUUUUGUAGAAUGAACCGGCGAGUUACGAUUUGAUGCAAGGUUAAGCAGUAAAUGUGGAGCCGUAGCGAAAGCGAGUCUGAAUAGGGCGUUUAGUAUUUGGUCGUAGACCCGAAACCAGGUGAUCUACCCUUGGUCAGGUUGAAGUUCAGGUAACACUGAAUGGAGGACCGAACCGACUUACGUUGAAAAGUGAGCGGAUGAACUGAGGGUAGCGGAGAAAUUCCAAUCGAACCUGGAGAUAGCUGGUUCUCUCCGAAAUAGCUUUAGGGCUAGCCUCAAGUGAUGAUUAUUGGAGGUAGAGCACUGUUUGGACGAGGGGCCCCUCUCGGGUUACCGAAUUCAGACAAACUCCGAAUGCCAAUUAAUUUAACUUGGGAGUCAGAACAUGGGUGAUAAGGUCCGUGUUCGAAAGGGAAACAGCCCAGACCACCAGCUAAGGUCCCAAAAUAUAUGUUAAGUGGAAAAGGAUGUGGCGUUGCCCAGACAACUAGGAUGUUGGCUUAGAAGCAGCCAUCAUUUAAAGAGUGCGUAAUAGCUCACUAGUCGAGUGACACUGCGCCGAAAAUGUACCGGGGCUAAACAUAUUACCGAAGCUGUGGAUUGUCCUUUGGACAAUGGUAGGAGAGCGUUCUAAGGGCGUUGAAGCAUGAUCGUAAGGACAUGUGGAGCGCUUAGAAGUGAGAAUGCCGGUGUGAGUAGCGAAAGACGGGUGAGAAUCCCGUCCACCGAUUGACUAAGGUUUCCAGAGGAAGGCUCGUCCGCUCUGGGU
This 905-nucleotide ribosomal RNA is filed under the name Staphylococcus aureus. RNAcentral's name for it is "partial 23S ribosomal RNA". It matches the Rfam family "Bacterial large subunit ribosomal RNA", at positions 467 to 1380 of the family's 2925-position model. Lineage: Bacteria; Bacillati; Bacillota; Bacilli; Caryophanales; Staphylococcaceae. The record is from RNAcentral.